GCACCCGUAGCUCAGAUGGAUAGAGCACUGCCCUCCUAAGGCAGGUGCCGGACGUUCGAAUCGUCUCGGGUGCGCCA
RNAcentral lists this transfer RNA (77 nucleotides) under Tissierellia bacterium. Its description in RNAcentral is "tRNA-Arg". It matches the Rfam family "tRNA". Rfam says of the family: Transfer RNA (tRNA) molecules are approximately 80 nucleotides in length. Their secondary structure includes four short double-helical elements and three loops (D, anti-codon, and T loops). Lineage: Bacteria; Bacillati; Bacillota; Tissierellia. The record is from RNAcentral.